Long non-coding RNA from Topomyia yanbarensis, 474 nucleotides. RefSeq lists it as uncharacterized. Lineage: Eukaryota; Metazoa; Arthropoda; Insecta; Diptera; Culicidae. The transcript is spliced from 3 exons. The record is from RefSeq and is a predicted model, not a curated record.
CGAAUGUGUGUGUAUUUUAUACAGUAUAGCAACAUGUGUUCCGUUGUGUCUUUUUCAUCACAAAGAUCGCAUUCUUCCGAAUCUACUAGGCGCAUUUUAGCCAACCAGUAGUUCGAGAAGUCGUGUCCAGCCAGUAUUCUAUUUAGUGUUCGCACUUCUUCCCCAUUGAAUGUUGAAUUCCAAAACCACGGUCUUCUUGGAAAGCAGAGAAGUUUGUUGACGAUAAUCGCAUCAUUAUUCAAUCCUGCCUUUGCCAGGGUAUCUGCUGCUUCGUUUCCCUCCAGACCCACAUGGCCUGGAAUCCACUGAAGUACAGUGCCCGUUGUUUGCAGUUCUUUGCAAAUUGUACCAGUCAGACUGUCCCAUGAUUUGGAUUCUUGGUGUUUUUCCAAAAGUAGACAUGCAGACUGGGAGUCGCUGAUGUGUUUUUCACUCGUAAAACCAUCCGUACUCGUGCCCGAUCGUAACCGAACU